GCCACUUUAGCUCAGUCGGUAGAGCAGCGCAUUCGUAAUGCGCGGGUCGGGGGUUCGAGUCCCCUGAGUGGCUCAA
RNAcentral lists this transfer RNA (76 nucleotides) under Bacteroidetes bacterium HGW-Bacteroidetes-11. RNAcentral's name for it is "tRNA-Thr". It matches the Rfam family "tRNA". Rfam says of the family: Transfer RNA (tRNA) molecules are approximately 80 nucleotides in length. Their secondary structure includes four short double-helical elements and three loops (D, anti-codon, and T loops). Lineage: Bacteria; Pseudomonadati; Bacteroidota. The record is from RNAcentral.